This 708-nucleotide ribosomal RNA is filed under the name uncultured bacterium. Its description in RNAcentral is "bacterial SSU rRNA". It matches the Rfam family "Bacterial small subunit ribosomal RNA", at positions 605 to 1315 of the family's 1533-position model. The record is from RNAcentral.
GGGCUCAACCCACGAAGUGCGCCCGAAACUGCACCGCUCGAGUGCGGGAGGGGGGAUCGGAAUGCAGGGUGUGGCGGUGACAUGCGUUGAUAUCCUGCAGAACACCGGUGGCGAAGGCGGAUCCCUGGAACGCAACUGACGCUGAGGCGCGAAAGCUGGGGGAGCAAACAGGAUUAGAUACCCUGGUAGUCCCAGCCGUAAACGGUGCACACUUGGCGCGGCGGGAAUUCACCCCCGCCGUGCCGGAGCGAACGCGUUAAGUGUGCCGCCUGGGGAGUACGGCCGCAAGGCUAAAACUCAAAGAAAUUGACGGGGGCCCGCACAAGCGGAGGAGCAUGUGGCUUAAUUCGAUGCAACGCGAAGAACCUUACCCGGGUUUGACAUGCAGCUGCACGUCCCGUGAAAGCGGGAUUCCUUCGAGGGUGCUGCACAGGUGCUGCAUGGCUGUCGUCAGUUCGUGCCGUGAGGUGUUUGGUUAAGUCCAGCAACGAACGCAACCCCUGUGUCCGGUUGCCAGCGGGCAAUGCCUGGAACUCAGGACAGACUGCCCGUUCACACGGGAGGGAGGUGGAGACGACGUCAAGUCAGUAUGGACCUUAGGUGCGGAGCUGCACACGUGCUAGAGUGGCCCAGUACAAAGGGAGGCACCACCCGCGAGGUGAAUCACUGUUAGAUCAGCCGGUUUUCGUAUCGCUGCGGGCAUGCGCG